CUUUUCGCGUGCGGGCGUGCGGGGUGCGGCGCGUCCCUUCCAUCUCUCCCUCUCCGCGCCGCCUCCGUGGGAGUCAGGGACCCAGGAGGGCGCGCUCGCGGCUCGCCGGAUCUCGUUCGCUCUCCUGCCGACCCGCCUCGCCCUCCCUUCACCACCGGCGACGCGCUUGGUCUCCGUGUCCUUCUACUGCGCCGCGAAACUCCACGGCUCCGCGAGAUGCAGAAUCGCACCAUCGCUGGCCUCAUCUGCAGCGCACACGCUCGUCGUGUUAAUUUUUGCAACAAUUUGCAAGAAUUUUACUGCUUGGAACACAUGAACAAUGUUGCAGGGAUUUUGCACAAAACAUUUUAUCCUGAUGUAACUGAAAAAAAUAUUCACGUGCUUCCAAUGAGCACAAUGUUUUACUUUAUUGGUAAGAACCUUCCAAACAUGGAAUUACGGAUGUACACAAUGACGUUGCGCAUCAUUCAUGUUUGCACGAGAACUGCUCAUAACACGUUACAUCAUACACUGUUGAACGCAGCAGAAGUAUUUAAAACACGCUAAUUUAUACUUUCUCGUCCGCUGCUCCAUUCCUUUUGAGUAGGCAAAUCAUGUUUUGACCAACAAU
Long non-coding RNA from Panicum hallii, 610 nucleotides. RefSeq lists it as uncharacterized. NCBI's taxonomy places the organism in Eukaryota, Viridiplantae, Streptophyta, Magnoliopsida, Poales, Poaceae. The transcript has 3 exons. The record is from RefSeq and is a predicted model, not a curated record.